UACGUGAAACCGUUCAGGAGUAAACCUGAGAGAGUCGAUUAUUCGAAAGGGGGGUGUCAGCCGUCGUGCGUUGCUCGUGCAGUGACCAAAUCAGGGUAGGUGUUUCCAGAUAGUGUUUCGGCACUUGGCUAGGGGCUCCUGUUUGGUUGCAGCGCGUAGUGUUGCGUGCGCCGGUGCAUUUCCGCCCCGAGUAGAACGUCGCUCCCGUCGGCGUUAUGUCGGCCUGUGGCCCGGGUAAAGUCCGGUCGCUUGCUUCUUUAUCGGAGCUCGCGCACCGAUAACCCGGUGACCUGGCCGUGCCGUCCGACGGGCAGAUAGAAAGUACGGUGACUGCUAACGACUUUUGGCUUCGGCUAAAUUUACGUGGUAGUUGCCGCGCGGCGCUGUCGUUUUGGCGAUCUCAGGACCCGUCUUGAAACACGGACCAAGGAGUCUAGCAUGCGGGCGAGUCACUGGGCAUUUUGAAACCCAAAGGCAUAGCGAAAUCAAAGAUAAGCCGUUUUCUUCGGAAAACGGCAAGUUGGGGGACGAUGGGCGGUCGUUACUGGCCGCCUCGCAGUCCCGGGGUGCCCCAUUCUCAUUGCGAGAUGGGGCGCCCUCGGAGCCCGCACGCUAUGACCCGAAAGAUGGUGAACUAUGCCUGGGCAGGACGAAGCCAGGGGAAACCCUGGUGGAGGUCCGUAGCGAUUCUGACGUGCAAAUCGAUCGUCAUAUCUGGGUAUAGGGGCGAAAGACCAAUCGAACC
Molecule: ribosomal RNA, 745 nt
Filed under: Staphylinidae sp. NZAC03011809
Lineage: Eukaryota; Metazoa; Arthropoda; Insecta; Coleoptera; Staphylinidae
Description: eukaryotic LSU rRNA
Rfam family: Eukaryotic large subunit ribosomal RNA
Source: RNAcentral